This 942-nucleotide long non-coding RNA is filed under the name Gallus gallus (chicken). RNAcentral describes it as "lncRNA (ENSGALG00010023610.1)". Lineage: Eukaryota; Metazoa; Chordata; Aves; Galliformes; Phasianidae. The record is from RNAcentral.
AGGUGCUGAGUGAUGAAAUUUAUAAGCACUUUCAGGCACACUGAGUGAGUACUGCUGAAUCAGGAGAAUCACAGUCUGGUCUCAACAAUGUUUCUUUUAACCAACAACUUAAUCUUUUAAGCCUCACAUUAGCUAAAAGGGCUUUUACAGGCCCUUGGUAAAACCCAGCUGUUACUUUCAGAGAUGCUGUAAGUACCAGAGCAGAGGACAUGGUCUCAGCUCUCAGUUCAGGCAUGUUUCCUUGCAUCAUUCCAGAAUGCUGACUGCUUACUUUUGGGUCAUAAGAGGCAAAUUCAUCCCUAGAAUGAGUCAGUGGAUUUCCACUAGAGCUGACAGCUCCCUGCUCGGGGAUGCUCCCAUACGUUGCAGAAAUCCUCCUGUGGAGACAACAAGGCAGUGGAGCAGCACACACAUGCUCAGAGGGAAUCACAGUGCGGACUGUCCAGUGAUGAUGGACAUGCCCAGAACUGGCACACACAUUUAAACAGAUGAUAUUUUGGCCAUCACUGGCUGAAGCUGGAUUCUGCUCUCAGUUACGGCAGCUGAAUAUGGAAUGUUCAUUUAGAUGCCAAUGGCAUAACUUUGGUUUUGUUCCUGAGCAUUGAGCCAAUCCAUGGCCCUCAGUUCUCCCUCCUUUACAUUCAAACUAACCUUCUACUGAGCACAUACUUUCAUCUGUAUCUCUCUUUUCAUCUCUUCAGCAGAAGUAACAACUUAGAUGCAGUAAUCAAGAAGCAGAUAGAUCCAGAGAAGAGAGCAUUUUGGAUUGAAGUCUCUAAACCCAUCAAAACUGCCAUUGUAAAUCAAACUGACAGUCAAUUACAAGAUGAACUACGCAUUUGAACAAGUCCAGCUUAGAAAGCCCAGCCAUCUCUAAUAUACUUAUGGACCUGCAAAUGCUCUUCAUUUGCAGGACAGAGGGGUGACCACCGCGUGCGAUCA